GUCUACAGCCAUGCCACCCCGAACAAGCCCAAUGCCUGUUUUUGGGAGCUAAGCAGUGUCAGGCCUGGUUAGUACUUGGAUGGGAGACCAUCUAGCAAGACCAAGUGCUGUAGGCA
RNAcentral lists this ribosomal RNA (116 nucleotides) under Pteropus alecto (black flying fox). Lineage: Eukaryota; Metazoa; Chordata; Mammalia; Chiroptera; Pteropodidae. The record is from RNAcentral.